CUGGGGCUGAAGUCGGUCCCAAGGGUAUGGCUGUUCGCCAUUUAAAGUGGUACGCGAGCUGGGUUUAGAACGUCGUGAGACAGUUCGGUCCCUAUCUGCCGUGGGCGUUGGAAGAUUGAAGGGGGCUGCUCCUAGUACGAGAGGACCGGAGUGGACGAACCUCUGGUGUUCGGGUUGUGUCGCCAGACGCAUUGCCCGGUAGCUAAGUUCGGAAUCGAUAACCGCUGAAAGCAUCUAAGCGGGAAGCGAGCCCUGAGAUGAGUCUUCCCUGAUACUUUAAGUAUCCUGAAGGGUUGUUCGAGACUAGAACGUUGAUAGGCAGGGUGUGUAAGCGCUGUGAGGCGUUGAGCUAACCUGUACUAAUUGCCCGUGAGGCUUAACCAUACAACACCCAAAGGGUUUUG
This 404-nucleotide ribosomal RNA is filed under the name Vibrio sp. 03_296. Its description in RNAcentral is "bacterial LSU rRNA". It matches the Rfam family "Bacterial large subunit ribosomal RNA", at positions 2547 to 2925 of the family's 2925-position model. Lineage: Bacteria; Pseudomonadati; Pseudomonadota; Gammaproteobacteria; Vibrionales; Vibrionaceae. The record is from RNAcentral.